CAUCCAUGUAAUAACACAUCGUUGCAGGCUUGCAUAAGCUUCAUAACCAGACUACACCUUUAGUAAGGCAGAAGCAAGCUAUCGUGAUCGUAAGCACAUGACAACUGAAUCAGCACAUUCAAAAGCGAAAAGUGGAUGAUUUGCACAUACCCAGGUCAUUUGAAGCAUCAGCAUUGUCCCCAUCCUCCUGCAUUUCUUGCCCAUCCUCAUCGACGUCUUGUUCCUCCUCUUGCUGAAGCUCCUCUCCCGCUGAUGCAUCCUCCUGCACUUGCUCUUUUCCAACCUCAGCCUCACCGGAGUCACCGCCGUCCGGCCUGCUCACCCACCUGGACGCCGGCACCACCACCAACCAAGCCCUCCACCACCUCCUCCCCAUCUGCGGCACCACCAGCAGCAUUGACAAGUGCGGUGGCACCCCUGCCCAAUUGUGGCGGUGAGACGAUGUUGGGAGGCCGCUUGUGGCGGUGAGACGAUGUUGG
This 479-nucleotide long non-coding RNA is filed under the name Sorghum bicolor (sorghum). RNAcentral describes it as "long non-coding RNA (SBIC_LNC001183)". Lineage: Eukaryota; Viridiplantae; Streptophyta; Magnoliopsida; Poales; Poaceae. The record is from RNAcentral.